This 253-nucleotide ribosomal RNA is filed under the name uncultured bacterium. RNAcentral describes it as "partial 16S ribosomal RNA". It matches the Rfam family "Bacterial small subunit ribosomal RNA", at positions 524 to 776 of the family's 1533-position model. The record is from RNAcentral.
UACAGAGGUGGCAAGCGUUGUUCGGAAUUACUGGGCGUAAAGGGCGCGUAGGCGGCCCGUCAAGUCCCGUGUGAAAGCCCCCGGCUCAACCGGGGAACGGCGCGGGAAACUAGCAGGCUUGAGUUCGGGAGAGGGAAGCGGAAUUCCGGGUGUAGCGGUGAAAUGCGCAGAAAUCCGGAGGAACACCGGUGGCGAAGGCGGCUUCCUGGACCGACACUGACGCUGAGGCGCGAAAGCUAGGGGAGCAAACGGG